CACAACAACAGUGCAAGGGAGGAAGGAGGAGAAAUGUUUACAAAGAGCUGGUUUUGGGGAAGGUCCAGAAGAUUCAACUGUUUAUUUGGAAUCAUAAAAUGUUGGAGGAGGAGAAGACAUUGGAGAUCAUCUGGUUCAAACUUUUUAUUUUGUGGACAUGGAAAAAUGACACCAAGAGAAGCUAAAUGACCUGUCCAAGAUCAUACAGCAAGUUAGUGGCAGACCUGGGAAGUAACCCAAGUCUCCUGGAAAGAGCAGUGGAAUGGGAAAUCAGAUGUUCUUUCCUUUGCCCCAUACUGCCUCUUAUUUCUUCUUGACCUUUUUCCCACUGCAUCCCAUCAGGAUGGGUGUGGGAGGAGAGUCCAUGCCUAGAAACAGGCAACCAGCCUGUACUUAAGGAGUUUCUGGACAUCAGCUGAGACUUAGAGGAUUAGCUGGAGAGCUCCUUGGCCUUGGAACUCAGCCAGGCCACAGUGUUUCUCAAGUUCUGAUCAGCUGGCUUGCUGAAAUUUUUCUUUGUAGCUGUGCUCUGGUCUCUCUCGCUUGAAUUUUGAUGUGACCUUGGGAGUUGGCCUACCAUGCAAAAGAUAUUUGUUGCCCUCAAAGGUCCCAAGAGUAGCUGUCUGAUGAGCCAUAGGGAGGUUUCAUGAUCACACUAGGGUUGACCUAAUGUAUUCAAGGAUACAUUAUUUAUUCACAUUCUGUUAUUUAUGGGGCUUUAGGAAGUGUUCCCCAACCCCAACCAAAAAUCCCCAGUUCAUUAUUUUGUGUUUAACAUUGUCCUUUUCUGCUGGUUUUUAAAAAUGCAUUCAUUCCAAGGAUAGAUUAUAGAUUCAAUUAUAAAGACAUUAGAACAGUUGGAUUUUUCAGAAUUACAGAAUUUCAGCAUGGGAAAAUUUUAGUUCAUCUAGUUCAGCCCAAACCUGAGGACCAAUCCUUUUGAAAUGUCAACAACAGACUUCUACUUGCAGGCAUCUGGUGAUGAAGAACCCAUUUUGUAACAAAACAAUCCAUUUUACUUUUCUACAUGUAAUUCUUUUCCUCUUUACUUUAUUGUUAACUAUUUGAUCUGGCUUUCAACUUCAUCAAUCAACUGAAACUAUUCUCUUUAAAGUGACCAAUGAUCUCUGAACUGUCAAAUCUCAGGGUCUUUUCCCAAGUGAUCCUUCUGCAGCCUUUAUACUGUUGA
This 1189-nucleotide long non-coding RNA is filed under the name Monodelphis domestica (gray short-tailed opossum). Its description in RNAcentral is "lncRNA (ENSMODG00000047882.1)". The record is from RNAcentral. Lineage: Eukaryota; Metazoa; Chordata; Mammalia; Didelphimorphia; Didelphidae.